Molecule: long non-coding RNA, 401 nt
Organism: Thamnophis elegans (Western terrestrial garter snake)
Lineage: Eukaryota; Metazoa; Chordata; Lepidosauria; Squamata; Natricidae
Exons: 3
Source: RefSeq, a predicted model, not a curated record
CAGGCUGUCAACAGAAAAUGACUACGGGAACACAAAAGCCAAAAUGAUGUCAGCUUAAUCAGAGAAGAGACCGAAUGCCUCCCAAGGUGCGAACCGGCUGAAUCCCACCACUGCAAAGGACCUUCUGGGCAUGCAGAGAGCGUAAAACGGGAUGAGCCUGCUAUCAAGCACACCUGAAAACAACAGGCAAAGAAUUUUUUUUUGUUAAGAACAGCAAACAUAAGAUAAGAAUUGCCAACUUGUAGAGAUGACCUUGGAGAAGAAAUUUAGAGUGGGAACAGAAUAGAAUAACAGAGUUGGAGGUGACUUUGGAGGUCUUCUAUUCCCACCCCCUGCUGUAGCAUGAGAGCCUACACCAUUUCAGACAAGUGGCUGUCCAGUUUCUUCUUAAAAGCCUCCAA